RNAcentral lists this ribosomal RNA (468 nucleotides) under uncultured bacterium. Its description in RNAcentral is "partial 16S ribosomal RNA". It matches the Rfam family "Bacterial small subunit ribosomal RNA", at positions 28 to 507 of the family's 1533-position model. The record is from RNAcentral.
GACGAACGCUGGCGGCGUGCUUAACACAUGCAAGUCGAACGGAAAGGCCCUGCUUUUGUGGGGUGCUCGAGUGGUGAACGGGUGAGUAACACGUGAGUAGCCUGCCCUUGACUUUGGGAUAACUUCAGGAAACUGGGGCUAAUACCGGAUAGGAGCUCCUGCUGCAUGGUGGGGGUUGGAAAGUUUCGGCGGUUGGGGAUGGACUCGCGGCUUAUCAGCUUGUUGGUGGGGUAGUGGCUUACCAAGGCUUUGACGGGUAGCCGGCCUGAGAGGGUGACCGGCCACAUUGGGACUGAGAUACGGCCCAGACUCCUACGGGAGGCAGCAGUGGGGAAUAUUGCACAAUGGGCGGAAGCCUGAUGCAGCAACGCCGCGUGCGGGAUGAUGGCCUUCGGGUUGUAAACCGCUUUCGCCUGUGACGAAGCGUGAGUGACGGUAAUGGGUAAAGAAGCACCGGCUAACUACGUG